Molecule: transfer RNA, 91 nt
Organism: Sporothrix schenckii ATCC 58251
Lineage: Eukaryota; Fungi; Ascomycota; Sordariomycetes; Ophiostomatales; Ophiostomataceae
Rfam family: tRNA
About the family: Transfer RNA (tRNA) molecules are approximately 80 nucleotides in length. Their secondary structure includes four short double-helical elements and three loops (D, anti-codon, and T loops).
Source: Rfam
CUCCUGGUGGUCUAGUUGGUUUAUGGCAUCGGACUGUAAUUGUAACACAAUCUAAAUCCGAGAGUCGGGCGUUCGAUUCGCCCCCGGGAGA